UCUCUUAAUUGGAGGCUUGUAUGAAUGGUUGGAUGAGGGAAUUUCUUUCUUUAAAUUAAUUUGUUGAAUUUAAUUUUUAAGUUAAAAAGCUUAGAUUUUUGAGUGGGACGAGAAGACCCUAUAGAAUUUUAUUUAUAUUUAAUUUUUUAAUUAUUGGUUAAUAUUUUAUUAUUAUUAUUAUUAAAUUUUGUUGGGGUGACCGUAAGAUUAUUAUAACUCUUAUAAUUUAUUUUUUACUAAUUUGUAUAUUAAAAAUCCUAUUUUAAGGAUA
RNAcentral lists this ribosomal RNA (271 nucleotides) under Euschistus acutus. Its description in RNAcentral is "partial 16S ribosomal RNA". The record is from RNAcentral. Lineage: Eukaryota; Metazoa; Arthropoda; Insecta; Hemiptera; Pentatomidae.